GAAUUACAAAACAAUAUUUAUUUUAUAUGUAAGAUUACAUAUGUCAGGAGGUUCUAUUCAUAAACAGUGGAUCUAACACAUCAAGUGACAUCUAAAAAUCAUUAGUUAAUUAUAAGUUUAUUCUGAAAAAUUUAUUUUUAUUACUUUUAUUUCCACAAAGUCAUUGUUACUGAAGUCCAGAUUUUUACAUGAUAAAUAUUCUGUUGACAUUAAAGCCAAAUUAGAUAAACUCUUCUUGAAUCACUGUAGUCUUAAAGUAGAUUUUUUUUCCUAAUUUAAAUUUAGAAAACUUCAUUCUGCUAAAGUAGUAGUAACUAGAAUUGUCACUAAAAUCUUAAACCAAUUACUGUAAUUUGAAAAUAAAUGAACUUUACAUAUCAUAUCUAAAUCUUGCAAUGGUGUUGCAUACAACGAUGUAUCUGUCGCAGAAUAUCUUAAUUUUAUCAAAUAAAGCCCUACCAAUUAAAUUGUAAAUAUUUUCAUUCCUUAAUUCAUUUCUUAAGUUUUUCUGCAUUCAGAAUUUUCAUGUUUGUACAGAAAACUGAAAACAGCAGUGUGUUGCUACUUUAUUCCAAAUUUGGAAUGGGAAAGGUUUGCAUCCUGAAAGAGCACCUGGAGUGGAAGGGAGAGUCAGGUGAAACAGGUUCAGUGAGAGGCUGUGUGCUCAACAGGGUGGAGUCCUGCUUUGAAACCAGCCUGCUGCUCUGCACACAUUCUUCCAAGAUGGGCCCGGAGGUUCCUUCAAAGCAACACGGACUAUGGAUUUAGGGGUUCAAGACUCCUCCAGCUCUCCCUCUGCUUCUGCCGCUGCAGCAGGGAUUGGAGGCGUUGCUUGCAGUGGGCUCUCUCCCCAUUUCGCCUUCAUGUCUCCCUAUUCUGUUUUGCCUUUUGAUCCUCCUAAUCCUAGUCUCAUUAAUUUCUUCCAUUGUAUUCCUUCAGCGUCUUCCUUUUCCUCGGAUUUCCCACUUUCUUACUGAUUGGAUCCCAGUGAAGACCCCAAGAUUGCAGCCAUCUUGACUGCCCUGACUCAGCAUUCCUGGAUUCGCCAGUUCCCGCCAUCCCAGCGGCCAUCUUGGCUACCCUGACUUGGCAUUUUCACCUGUUCCCGCCAUUUAUUCCCGCCAUCUCGGCAGCCACCUCGGAUACCCUGACUCAGCAUUUCCGGGUCCACCUUUCUUGUUCCCGCCGCCUCAGUGAACACGCAUGCCCACUAAAGCACAUCACUAAGGCACAUCACUCAUCUAUAUAAGCGCGCUGCACCUUUGGCACAGCGCGACUUCCCUGACCCUCCCCCUGCAGACCACUGAACCUCGCCGGAGAGCUCAAUUAAGAAGAUUUUUGCCCUCUUUGUCUCGCCUCUCGGCCUUAUUGAUCCACGGUGCCCUUCCAUUGCCUUUCAUUGGUGCCAAAACCCGGGAAGGGACACCUCCUAAGCCCCCCAGAGGCUCGAGGGGACUCCCCUCCUGGUCAGAUCAGGCUUCUUCCCCACGGCUACCCAUCCGUUUCGUUCGGUUACUUGCCACCAGGUUGCAGCUGCUGCAGCCACUCCAGUCCAAUUCGGCUGACGCUGGAUGAGAUCGGCAGCUUGGGGCCAGGUGCAGUGGAUCACGCCUGUAAUCCCAGGACUUUGAGAGGCCGAGGCGGGCAGAUCACCUGAGAUCGGGAGUUCAAGACACAGCCUGAGCAACAUGAAGAAACCCCGUCUCUACUAAAAAUACAAAAUUAGGAGCUCUCCCUCUUCCUCUCCCUCUCCCUCUCCCCACGGUCUCCCUCUCCCUCUCUUUCCACGGUCUCCCUCUCAUGCUGAGCCGAAGCUGGACUGUACUGCUGCCAUCUUGGCUCACUGCAACCUCCCUGCCUGAUUCUCCUGACUCAGCCUGCCGAGUGCCUGCGAUUGCAGGCUCGCGCCGCCACGCCUGACUGGUUUUGGUGGAGACGGGGUUUCGCCGUGUUGGCCAGGCCGGUCUCCAGUCCCUAACCGCAGGUGAUCCGCCAGCCUCGGCCUCCCGAGGUGCCGGGAUUGCAGACGGAGUCUCGUUCACUCAGUGCUCAAUGGUGCCCAGGCUGGAGUGCAGUGGCGUGAUCUCGGCUCGCUACAACCUCCACCUCCCAGCUGCCUGCCUUGGCCUCCCAAAGUGCCAAGAUUGCAGCCUCUGCCCGGCUGCCACGCCGUCUGGGAAGUGAGGAGCGUCUCUGCCUGGCCGCCCAUCGUCUGGGAUGUGAGGAGCCCCUCUGCCUGGCUGCCCAGUCUGGAAAGUGAGGAGCGUCUCCGCCCGGCCGCCAUCCCACCUAGGAAGUGAGGAGCACCUCUUCCUGGCUGCCAUCACAUCUAGGAAGUGAGGAGCGUCUCUGCCCGGCCGCCCAUCGUCUGAGAUGUGGGGAGCGCCUCUGCCCCGCCACCCCGUCUGGGAUGUGAGGAGCACCUCUGCCCGGCCACCACCCCGUCUGGGAGGUGUGCCCAACAGCUCAUUGAGAACGGGCCAAGAUGACAAUGGAGGCUUUGUGGAUAGAAGGGCGGGAAAGGUGGGGAAAAGAUUGAGAAAUCGGAUGGUUGCCGUGUCUGUGUAGAAAGAAGUAGACAUGGGAGACUUUUCAUUAUGUUCUGUACUAAGAAAACUUCUUCUGCCGUGGGAUCCUGUUGAUCUGUGACCUUACCCCCAACCCUGUGCUCUCUGAAACAUGUGCUGUGUUCACUCAGGGUUAAAUGGAUUAAGGGCGGUGCAAGAUGUGCUUUGUUAAACAGAUGCUUGAAGGCAGCAUGCUCGUUAAGAGUCAUCACCACUCCCUAAUCUCAAGUACCCAGGGACACAAACACUGCGGAAGGCCGCGGGGUCCUCUGCCUAGGAAAACCAGAGACCUUUGUUCACUUGUUUAUCUGCUGACCUUCCCUCCACUAUUGUCCUAUGACCCUGCCAAAUCUCCCUCUGUGAGAAACACCCGAGAAUUAUCAAUAAAAAAUAAAUAAAUUAAAAAAAAAAAAAAAGUUCCGUUAUCUUCUUACUCUAGUAGAUACUUUCUCAGGUUGGAUUGAAGCCUAUCCCACCACUCAUGAAACAGCAGAGGUGGUAGCUUCAACCCUCAUUGAACACAUAAUCCCGAGAUUUGGCCUCCCUCGGACAAUCCAAUCUGAAAAUGGGCCUGCUUUUAUCUCCAAGAUAGUCAAACAGGUGACAACCACACUUGGCGUUAACUGGAAGCUACACACUCCAUACCAUCCACAGUCUUCUGGAAAAGUGGAACGCGCCAACGGCCUUGUCAAACAACACCUAAUCAAACUGGCUCUGGAGACACGCCAAUC
Molecule: long non-coding RNA, 3298 nt
Filed under: Homo sapiens (human)
Lineage: Eukaryota; Metazoa; Chordata; Mammalia; Primates; Hominidae
Description: HSALNT0171443
Source: RNAcentral